AGCCAGUUUAAUGAGGCAGUUAAGGGAAAAGAGGAACGCUCGGAGGUGCACUGUAGCUACUGUGCCAUCAGAUGUUAUCUUAAGCUGCUGAAGAGCAGUCUGCUUGUCCUGCUCAUUUAGGAUAAAACAUACACACACAGCUCUGCCAGCAGGUCUGGAGAAGGAAAAAGAAAAGCUGGGGCUUUCCCACCAUCUGGAUCUAGAAGAGAACAGCCAUCCACAGCCUUCCUUAGAGGAAACUUCGUGUUAGAGGCUCCCAUUUCAGCACAGAAGGUAAUGGAGUGGGGGAUAGGAGAAGAAUAGGUGAUGUUGAUUCAACUGGAGAUGCAGCAUGAAACAAUCCUUGGGAAAUAGUGUGAUCACCAUAGCUGUCUUCAGGAUUGGAGAGAAAAGGCACUGGCAGAUUUGGACAGAUUCCUUCUACCUCUGACUCUAAAGACUUCUCUUAUGCUUAGGCUCAGACUCAAAUUAAAGGAAUCACUAACUGCUUAAUCUUAAGCACAUUAUAAAGUUCAGCAUCAAGUGAUUUAAACACGUUCUUAUCAAUCUUCAGUCGGGAACCUCUGAUCCUUCUUUUCUUGUCUAAGCUUUAAAACAUAGCAGGGUCUGAUCUUAACACUAUACACGCAGAUGGUCAGUCUGUGAGAGGGCAGCAUUGUGACUGCCCAUUCCACGUUCGAGGCACUGUGACAUGGAAUAAAGCUAAAGGCUUUGGCAUUAGCCUGCAGUGACAGACUUUAGGAAUAAGAUUCUGCCAACCAAGAUCCUAGAGAGAACAUUACUGUCCUUUCACCCUGCAUCCACAUCUGCAUGAAGCCUCUCUCCUCCAGACAGUGCCCAGGAGCAUGGCCCGCAGAACUGCACUGUCAACACUUCCCACACGCUGCUUACACGGCGAGAAGGUGCAGCAGAAACAUCUUCUCUGCACCUAGAGAAACUGGUGAGCUACCCCUCCUUGCCACGCAUUCCACCAAAAAGCUGGCAGAAACCUUCUCACACAUGGGAAGGGAGCAGGGAAGCCAUAAUUAGUUCAUGGAGA
This 1039-nucleotide long non-coding RNA is filed under the name Cyanistes caeruleus (blue tit). Its description in RNAcentral is "lncRNA (ENSCCEG00000003226.1)". Lineage: Eukaryota; Metazoa; Chordata; Aves; Passeriformes; Paridae. The record is from RNAcentral.